Molecule: ribosomal RNA, 207 nt
Filed under: uncultured bacterium
Lineage: Bacteria
Description: partial 16S ribosomal RNA
Rfam family: Bacterial small subunit ribosomal RNA
Source: RNAcentral
CGGAUUGUAGUCUGCAACCCGACUACAUGAAGCUGGAAUCGCUAGUAAUCGCGAAUCAGAAUGUCGCGGUGAAUACGUUCCCGGGUCUUGUACACACCGCCCGUCACACCAUGGGAGUCGGAAAUGCCCGAAGUCAGUGACCUAACCGAAAGGGAGGAGCUGCCGAAGGUGGAGCCGGUAACUGGGGUGAAGUCGUAACAAGGUAUC